UACGGAGGGUGCAAGCGUUAUCCGGAUUCACUGGGUUUAAAGGGUGCGUAGGCGGGUAUGUAAGUCAGUGGUGAAAUCCCCGAGCUUAACUCGGGAACUGCCAUUGAUACUAUAUAUCUUGAAUAUUCUGAGGUAUGCGGAAUAUGUCAUGUAGCGGUGAAAUGCUUAGAGAUGACAUAGAACACCUAUUGCGAAGGCAGCAUACUACGGAAAGAUUGACGCUGAGGCACGAAAGUGUGGGGAUCAAACAGG
Molecule: ribosomal RNA, 252 nt
Filed under: uncultured bacterium
Lineage: Bacteria
Description: partial 16S ribosomal RNA
Rfam family: Bacterial small subunit ribosomal RNA
Source: RNAcentral